This 402-nucleotide ribosomal RNA is filed under the name uncultured bacterium. RNAcentral's name for it is "bacterial SSU rRNA". It matches the Rfam family "Bacterial small subunit ribosomal RNA", at positions 29 to 402 of the family's 1533-position model. The record is from RNAcentral.
AACGAACGCUGGCGGCGUGGCUAAGACAUGCAAGUCGAACGGUAGGCUGUAGCAAUAUGGCCUAUAGUGGCGGACGGGUGAGUAAUGAAUAGGUAACUUACCCCGGGUACAGGGAUAGCGUCGGGGCGCAAGCCCCUUUGCGAAAGUGACGGUAAUACCUGGUAACGUCAUCGGGCGGCAUCGCUUGAUGACCAGAGGCGGGGACCUUCGGGCCUGCCGACUUGGGAGCGGCCUAUUUCCAUCAGCUAGUUGGUGAGGUAACGGCUCACCAAGGCAACGACGGGUAGCCGGACUGAGAGGUUGUCCGGCCACAUCGGGACUGAGACACUGCCCGGANAUCUACGGNUGGCUGCAGUAACGAAUAUUCCGCAAUGGCGAAAGCCUGACGGAGCGACGCCGCGU